Molecule: unclassified non-coding RNA, 279 nt
Filed under: plant metagenome
Description: partial contains small subunit ribosomal RNA, internal transcribed spacer 1, and 5.8S ribosomal RNA
Source: RNAcentral
UUUCCGUAGGUGAACCUGCGGAAGGAUCAUUAUUGUAUAACCGAGGCGCGAGGGCUCUGGCUGACAAGACAUGUCGUGCACGCCCGAGUUUCCUCACACUCACACAUGUCACCCCUAUGAGCACCUCCGCGUGGGUCCCCUUUAGACUUGUUGGGAUGGGGGCUUACGGUUUCACAGAAACUUUGUGUGCGGUGUAGUAUGUAUUUAUUGUUUUUGCGAACACGCAAUCAAAACAACUGUCAGCAAUUGAAACCUUUGAUCUCGCAUCGAUGAAGAACC